Long non-coding RNA from Ctenopharyngodon idella (grass carp), 4762 nucleotides. RefSeq lists it as uncharacterized. NCBI's taxonomy places the organism in Eukaryota, Metazoa, Chordata, Actinopteri, Cypriniformes, Xenocyprididae. The transcript has 4 exons. The record is from RefSeq and is a predicted model, not a curated record.
UAGAGAUAGACAGAUUUGAGGAAAUUUUGAAUGCAUGUUGGAAAUUGGUUACAAUUAAGCAGACAAAGAACAAGUGUGCAGAGAAGCAGAGGAAAAGACUCACAGAUCUAUAUAUGGGAUAUUACUAAUCUAAUGAGAGACAGGAAGUUCUCUUUGUGUGAACAGAUGGACUCUAUUUGUGCGCCACCCAUAUUGGAGGAUUAGUCCUUUCAGGUACGGAAAGACCCUGGUGUUACUGCAGAACCGGAACACAACCAGACUCAACAAAACAUAAGUUGUGCAUUUAGCACAGAAUUGUCAGAUGGAGGAUCAGAUGGAGGACCUGCACCUAGACACAACCACAAUGCAUCCCUGAAGUGUCAGCAGAGAUUAUGUCAACUAGAUCAUCCCCUGUGAAGGCCUCACCGACGCGACAGCCAGUGGCACAGAUUCCCAACAAACCGUUCCAUACCAGCGUGGAAGAGAGUGGAACACGCUGUCAGUCCUUGCCACUGAAGGGGACGUGCAGCAUCGGCAUGGUGUGUUGCUGUGGUGCUGGAGUGACUUGCCAGGACGAUGGAUUAACUAGCUGCUAGGCUGCUGAAAAAUGGAGAGGCAUGCCGGGACAGAGUCUUCGCCAUCCAUCAGAGGGUGUUGCGGUCGCCGUAACGGACCUGUUCCCAAAUGGGGUGAGGGGGUGGGUUGUAGAGUGCAGCCUUGAGGGUGUGCAUGUGGUGAGCAGGGUGCGGCCGAGAGCCAUAGGAGCAGAGCGAGGCCGGUAGAACGAAGUCUAAUGAGAGACACCUCCAAGACACACUAGUCUCGAGUCCCACAGAGGAGCUCUGGAAGGAUAUAAGAAGGAGUAACGACAGUGGAAGGCGAGAGAGGAUAUUAUUAAUAGUUGCUUGGAUUUUGGUUUGUCUCUCUGUGCAUGAUCUUACCUUCAAUAAGACCUUCCUCUUUGCGCUCUGCACAUGGAGCUGAUUAGCAGACUCUGGUGUGUUUGAUUAGGAAGAGUAUGUGUGCUUCAGGAAAAAGGUGUGGGAAACCCUUGUCUUGAACAUUUCAGUCCAUGGGUAUGUAUGCACGAUAAUGAUGUACUAAAGACAGAAAGUGAGGCCAGCAGGGGGUGCUCACCCUGUGUUCUGUGUGGGUCCUAACACCCCAGUAUGGGGACACUAUACUGUCAAAAAGCACUGUCUUUCAGUCCAGAAUGUACUUCGAAUAAAGAGUUGGGGUUUAACACUAUGGCUGAUGUCGCAUUAUCCAUCCAGGUGAAUGCUGCACCUUGGUGGUGGUUAAGGAGAUUCCUCCUUCCAUGUAAAAGCGCUUUGAGUGCUAAGAAAAGCGCUAUUUCAUGAGUUCACAUAUACAUAUAAUUAAAUAGAGUAAAGUUAUGCGUAUUUGCCGUGUCGUCCAGGGGGAGGGCUCCGAGCUGGGAAUUUUGACCCAAACCCAGAGCACUCCCCCCGGUUGUGGUAAGAAUAGAUAGAACUAGAAGUGAGGAGAUGGGGUGGAGGAGGGAUGCUGAUAAACUGUCAAACGAACAGAGGUAAGUCUGCUGUAUUUAUACUCUUGUCGUUGGUUGAGUUGAUUAACAGAAUGCUCUCCACUUGUGCUAAUAGUUUUAAUUAUCUGAACCUACUCCUCCUGAACUUUGUUAACGCGGCUUCUGAUAACAAGUCAAAAAUCUUGGGUCUGCUUUUGCAUCCGAAAGUUAAGCGCACAGCGAAAUAGUAUUUCCCGUGCCAGCAUACCCCGAAUAAGUAUCAUGAAUCCAGAUGGAUGGGCAUCACUUUGAAAGCAGAAGUGAUGUCUAUGUUGGCUAGCCAAGCGCCUUGACCCACAAUUUUUAUCAUGUCGAUCACCUGAUCUAUGUCGUGGUAUCUGAGAGAAAAUUCGUCAAGUGGGAUCAAGCUGUUUAUGCUUGGGAACAUGGAAUUAUGCGGAGCUGACAGAUUGAUUAUAAGGCGUUUUUUAGCUGAAAAUUUUCUCGUAGCCACUCCAAUGGGGCUAAUACGAAAGACUUUGAAGGGGGAAUCUUCAAAAGGGCCGAUCAUGAUGCCUGACUCAACUUCUUUUAUAAUCAGUUUGUCUAUGACGUCAGGAUCUGCGAGAGCAGAUUGGAGAUUAUUACAGAUGAUGUUUUGGGAGAGCUGGCAUUCCACGCUGGGCUUAAAACCAUGUUUGAGGUCAGAUAACAGAUAAUUAGUGAAGUCGGAGUCUAGGUGGUGAGCUAGCUUGAUAGAAAGUCGAGAAAUAUUCACAGGAGUCGAUAAAUAAUUUUUUGUUUUUUUAUUGGCAGCCUUAAACACUGGGCAUACAGGACAGGCAUGAGUGCCGCCACAGAAAUUGCAGAUGUGCAGAAAUCUGCAAUGCUGUCUGGUACAAUUCCUAAUGUUAAAUCAGUUGCAGGAUUGCCUGCUGAAAGCAAAGGAGGGAGCUCUUCUUCCGGAAUCCGGAUUCGCAUUGAAGGUUGCAGGUCUUGGCACGUAGAUUUCACUGGGGUUGUGUCUGGGCAGGGGGAAUGGAAGGGUUAAUUUAAGGGCAUGACGUGGUGAAGUGUGCCACUGACCUACAGAUCGCGCAUUAAACAUUUUUGCAGCCCAGGAACUCCCUACUAUGUAGAUCGGGGUUGAGUGCACCCCAGUAGGGGCAUUGGUUCCACUGGGCUACUCGUACAGUGCACUUUGUGGAGAAAAGUUUAUGAUACGUUUAGAAGUGUCCUCCUCCAUAGGACAACGCAUGCUCGGAUAUAAGUGCCAAAUAUUCAGUUCACACCGCCUAUGGGGGAAGGCUGAACAGAUUACUUCCAUAAAAUGACUGAAAGCAAUAGAAAACUCAGAAAAUGAAAGUAUGCAAGAUGAAUGAGAGUUUGAGUUUUUUUAAGUGACUGAAAAAUCCACACAAUCUAUUUGUCGGUUUAAUUCAGAUACAGGGAGCAGAGAAAGUAGAGAUGAGAGAUCCACAUCUGGAUUUAGGAGAGAGGUUGGCUGACUGUAAAGUGACAUAGAGAUCGUACAGUUCCGCUUUGUUCAUCCUCUGUGAGAACUGCACGUCGGAAUUAACCAGCACUUGCCUCAAUCCUACUACGGUCCACUUCCCAAUAGGUGGAAUCGUUGAGAUGGCUGAACAGUAGGAGGACGCUGGGGAAGAAGUUGGAUGUCUUGCUGGUGGAGGCGAGAGCUGGCCUCGGAAUCGUGGUGAACGAGAGGCUAUUCAGGCAGGCCUGGUGGCCGUGCAAAGAAGCCUGGGGCUCAGGUGCUUUGUCAGGCGGAGAAGGAGUGAUCCUGGGGCUGGCAGAUUGUGGCAGAGGAUCCAGAGGGAAAUUGGACUCAUCGUCAGAUGGAAAAAGCUGAAGUUGAGACAUGGUAGCAAAACGGGCGAACCAAGAUGCUAAUAAACUGUCAAAUGAACAGAGGUAAGUCUGCUGUAUUUAUUCCUCCUGUCUUUGUCCUAAAAGGGUUGUAAAUUUUCCUUCAUUUCAUGCAAAUUUUAAAUCACAAAACACUGUGCACAAAAUUCCCAAAUGUUUUCACAGUAGUUCAUACAUCCAACCAAAACUUUAAUAUAUCAGGCGAAAACAAUUGCUGCUCUUUUUAUUGGUUUUACUAAAAUCACAAUCAUUUGUGCACCAUUUUUCCAAACACAAAACAAAACUCUGUUAUUUGUUAAAAUCUCGGUUGUACUUGGAAUGUUCUCAAUUAGCCCCAAAUAAAUAUCUGCUUAGUAAUACACACAACACAGGAAAUGCAAAUUUCCUAAUUGUUUACAAAGCUAUCUCAAUUACAAAAACUAUAAAAGGGGAGAAAAAAAAAUAGUGGAAAGUAGUGGAUUAGUAUUAGUGGAAAGAGCAAGAGAAGAAAAUAUAAAAAGACAUGGACAGAGGGAAAGAGAAGAGCAAGGUGUAAGAGGAAGGAGGAGAGGUAGAAGAAUAGGGUACAGACGAGUUUCAAAUUAAACCAGAGCCAACCUAAUUGCCCAUGUCAUAAAUUAUGAUUUUUCCUUGAGAGAAGCUGGACAGAUAGUUCAGCCCAAUAUAAGCAUUGUGCCACAGUCAAUGUCCCUGGACAACAAGUGCUCCAAUCCACUGAUGGUGUGGCACACAACACUGUCUUAGGGCUGCAAAACACAGAAAGGCUUCUAAAUUGUUUAAACUCCUUCAAUGAAAUCAACUUUCCACAGGGUGAUCAGGAGCAAACUGAGCGAAAUUGUGUAGUUGUGUGGGACAAUGUCCACUUUUACCAUUCAGCACCGGUACAAGAGUGGUUUGAGCAUCACCCACAUUUUAGGAUGGUGUUCCUUCCAGCAUAUUCUUCUCUUGGAGAUGGAAAGUAUAUGAUCACAACCCUUACAACCAAGUAAGUCUUCUUCAAGUGAUGGAAGAGGCUUGUGGAGAAGUUGAGGCUCAAGGAUGGAUCCAACAUUCACUGCUUUUUUUCCCACGAUGCAUGACUCAUGAAAAUAUAUGCUGAGAUGUUGAUUUGCCAAAUUCUUUGGCCAGAUGUAAAUGAGAGGCAAGAUCUAUAAAGUUAAUUGAUUCAAUGAUUACAGUACAUUUAUUUAUUUAUUUACUUACUUACUUGCUCAUUUAUUUUUUGCUAAAACUCAUCGUUAUAUAACUAAACUUGUCAUUAAAGAACUUUGAAGAACACGAUUAAAGAACAAGAAAAACAUGUAUUUUCAUUCAUGUAUUUGUGUAUCUACAGCUGAAUUUGUUAUCAAAUCAACAGAGAACACACUUGUAGUUUUGUUGUUAGUAUUUAUUUUUUACUUUAUUAGA